AGUGAACGCUGGCGGUAGGCCUAACACAUGCAAGUCGAACGGCAGCACAGUAAGAGCUUGCUCUUACGGGUGGCGAGUGGCGGACGGGUGAGGAAUACAUCGGAAUCUACUUUUUCGUGGGGGAUAACGUAGGGAAACUUACGCUAAUACCGCAUACGACCUACGGGUGAAAGCAGGGGAUCUUCGGACCUUGCGCGAUUGAAUGAGCCGAUGUCGGAUUAGCUAGUUGGCUGGGUAAAGGCCCACCAAGGCUACGAUCCGUAGCUGGUCUGAGAGGAUGGAACGACACACUGGAACAGAGAAAGGUCCGAGACACUUACGGGAGGACGCGGUGGGGAAUAUUGGGCAAGGGGGGAAUGCGGAAUCCAGCCAUACCGGGGAGGGGAAGAGGGCCUUAGGGUUCUAAAGCCAUUUUGUUGGGAAGGAAAAGCAGCAGGUUAAUCCCCGGUGGUACUGACGGUACCCAAAGAAUAAGCACCGGCUAACUCCGUG
This 492-nucleotide ribosomal RNA is filed under the name uncultured bacterium. RNAcentral describes it as "partial 16S ribosomal RNA". It matches the Rfam family "Bacterial small subunit ribosomal RNA", at positions 29 to 507 of the family's 1533-position model. The record is from RNAcentral.